RNAcentral lists this ribosomal RNA (899 nucleotides) under unidentified. RNAcentral's name for it is "Amanita sp. 36 RET-2022a partial large subunit ribosomal RNA". It matches the Rfam family "Eukaryotic large subunit ribosomal RNA", at positions 50 to 936 of the family's 3401-position model. The record is from RNAcentral.
GCGGAGGAAAAGAAACUAACAAGGAUUCCCUUAGUAACUGCGAGUGAAGAGGGAAAAGCUCAAAUUUAAAAUCUGGCAGUGUUUUGCUGUCCGAGUUGUAACCUAGAGAAGUGUAACCUGUGCUGGACCGUGUAUAAGUCUCCUGGAAUGGAGCAUCAUAGAGGGUGAGAAUCCCGUCUUUGACAUGGACUACCAGUGCAUUGUGGUUGCGCACUCAACGAGUCGAGUUGUUUGGGAAUGCAGCUCUAAAUGGGUGGUAAAUUCCAUCUAAAGCUAAAUAUUGGCGAGAGACCGAUAGCGAACAAGUACCGUGAGGGAAAGAUGAAAAGAACUUUGGAAAGAGAGUUAAACAGUAUGUGAAAUUGUUGAAAGGGAAACGUUUGAAGUCAGUCGCGUUGGUUGGGGAUCAGCCUGACAUUGUUGGGUGUACUUCCUGGUUGACGGGCCAACAUCAGUUUUGACUGCCAGAAAAAGGCCAAAGGAAUGUGGCACCUUUGGGUGUGUUAUAGCCAUUGGUCGUAUAUGGUGGUUGGGACUGAGGAAAGCAGCGUGCCGAAAGGCCGGGUUUCGACCACGUUCACGCUGAGGAUGUUGGCAUAAUGGCUUUAAGCGACCCGUCUUGAAACACGGACCAAGGAGUCUAACAUGCGUGCGAGUGUUUGGGUGGAAAACCCUUACGCGUAAUGAAAGUGAAAGUUGAGAUCCCUGUCGCGGGGAGCAUCGACGCCCGGACCAGAACUUUUGGGACGGAUCUGCGGUAGAGCAUGUAUGUUGGGACCCGAAAGAUGGUGAACUAUGCCUGAAUAGGGUGAAGCCAGAGGAAACUCUGGUGGAGGCUCGUAGCGAUUCUGACGUGCAAAUCGAUCGUCAAAUUUGGGUAUAGGGGCGAAAGACUAAUC